UACGAGGGGGGGCGAGCGUUUGUUCGGAAUUAUUGGGCGUAAAGGGUGCGUAGGCGGUUUGGUAAGUCUUGUGUGAAAUCUACAGGCUCAACUUGUAGUCUGCACGAGAAACUGCCGGGCUUGAGUGUGGGAGAGGUGAGUGGAAUUCCUGGUGUAGCGGUGAAAUGCGUAGAUAUCAGGAGGAACACCUGUGGCGAAAGCGGCUCACUGGACCAUAACUGACGCUGAUGCACGAAAGCUAGGGGAGCAAACAGG
This 255-nucleotide ribosomal RNA is filed under the name uncultured bacterium. RNAcentral describes it as "partial 16S ribosomal RNA". It matches the Rfam family "Bacterial small subunit ribosomal RNA", at positions 524 to 776 of the family's 1533-position model. The record is from RNAcentral.